AGAUAACGCUCGGAACUAUGAAUUAUUCUAAAGCGGGGAUUCCCAAUAGCCUUAUCUACGCCAAAACAAUAAUAAAGGAUAAACCAACAGUUAAAGCAGCUUUUCAACUCUAAUGACCAACUAUGGGUUGCUGUUAUUCACGAUCUCAAGACGAAGAUGUUCCUCCAGCUGUGCCAAAAAGAACAAAAUGUAAAUCAGAGAAUCAUAUACGGUGUAAGACGGAGAGAAACUUUUCUGAGACAAAACAUUUGCUAUAUGAAAGAUGUUGUUUCCCAGUGAGGCGGAGUGGCAUCGAGAAUAGUUUAAUACUUACCGUAGGAUCUGUAUGCCUAAAUGGGCCUUCUUUAUCGGGAGAUAUACAUAUUAACUCUGCAUACGAUCCAAAUAAAAUCGUCGACAAUUCCGAGAUAAAUGAACAAGGAAAGCCAUACAUCAGCAUUGUUCCUGAUGCACCACCUCCACCAGUGUUACAUAUAUAAACUGUAUAAUAAGGAUUAUUAUUACAUUUUUACCCGUGAAAUAUUGUAAUUUAUUCAUUGAAUAAAAAUGAUAUCCUGUCACAGUGUUACGAAUAUCAGAAGUGCGGGAAAACUCUCGAUCUCCCUUCCCAUAACGAUGAUUGCUAUAGAAAAAGCUUCCUUGACCUAAUAUAAGAUAAAUGGAGAUAAUAAUCAAUUCUGACAGCGAAUAAAACUGUCAAAAUUACGAAAAAUAUGUCGCUAAAUCCAUGUUUACAGUGUGUUCACCUCACUAGCUAUGACGUCUCAACCGCUCAACUAUGACGUCAUGUAGCCUAUGACUGUAAUACA
Long non-coding RNA from Saccostrea cuccullata (small rock oyster), 809 nucleotides. RefSeq lists it as uncharacterized. The transcript is spliced from 3 exons. NCBI's taxonomy places the organism in Eukaryota, Metazoa, Mollusca, Bivalvia, Ostreida, Ostreidae. The record is from RefSeq and is a predicted model, not a curated record.